UAGGGCGGACGGGGAGGUAAUGUCUGGGAAACGUGCCCGAUGGAGGGGGGUAACUACUGGAAACGGUAGCUAAUACCGCAUAACGUCGCAAGACCAAAGAGGGGGACCUUCGGGCCUCUUGCCAUCGGAUGUGCCCAGAUGGGAUUAGCUAGUAGGUGGGGUAAAGGCUCACCUAGGCGACGAUCCCUAGCUGGUCUGAGAGGAUGACCAGCCACACUGGAACUGAGACACGGUCCAG
Molecule: ribosomal RNA, 238 nt
Filed under: uncultured bacterium
Lineage: Bacteria
Description: partial 16S ribosomal RNA
Rfam family: Bacterial small subunit ribosomal RNA
Source: RNAcentral